UACGUAGGGUGCAAGCGUUGUCCGGAAUUAUUGGGCGUAAAGCGCUCGCAGGCGGCUCGAUGCGUCGUGCGUGAAACACCCCGGCUCAACUGGGGAGGGUCGUGCGAUACGGUCGGGCUGGAGGCCAGUAGGGGGAUGCGGAAUUCCGGGUGUAGUGGUGGAAUGCGUAGAGAUCCGGAGGAACACCAGCGGCGAAGGCGGCAUCCUGGACUGGUCCUGACGCUCAGGAGCGAAAGCGUGGGGAGCGAGUCCGG
RNAcentral lists this ribosomal RNA (254 nucleotides) under uncultured bacterium. Its description in RNAcentral is "partial 16S ribosomal RNA". It matches the Rfam family "Bacterial small subunit ribosomal RNA", at positions 524 to 777 of the family's 1533-position model. The record is from RNAcentral.